GACGAACGCUGGCGGCGUGCUUAACACAUGCAAGUCGAACGGAAAGGCCCUGCUCUUGUGGGGUGCUCGAUUGGCGAACGGGUGAGUAACACGUGAGUAACCUGCCCUUGUCUUUGUGAUAACUUCAGGAAACUGGGGCUAAUACCGGAUAGGAUCUCCUGCUGCAUGGUGGGGGUUGGAAAGUUUCGGCGGUUGGGGAUGGACUCGCGGCUUAUCAGCUUGUUGGUGGGGUAGUGGCUUACCAAGGCUUUGACGGGUAGCCGGCCUGAGAGGGUGGCCGGCCACAUUGGGACUGAGAUACGGCCCAGACUCCUACGGGAGGCAGCAGUGGGGAAUCUUGCACAGUGGGCGGAAGCCUGAUGCAGCAACGCCGCGUGCGGGAUGACGGCCUUCGGGUUGUAAACCGCUUUCGCCUGUGACGAAGCGUGAGUGACGGUAAUGGGUAAAGAAGCACCGGCUAACUACGUG
This 468-nucleotide ribosomal RNA is filed under the name uncultured bacterium. RNAcentral describes it as "partial 16S ribosomal RNA". It matches the Rfam family "Bacterial small subunit ribosomal RNA", at positions 28 to 507 of the family's 1533-position model. The record is from RNAcentral.